RNAcentral lists this transfer RNA (88 nucleotides) under Magnaporthiopsis poae ATCC 64411. RNAcentral's name for it is "Magnaporthe poae ATCC 64411 tRNA-Tyr for anticodon GUA". It matches the Rfam family "tRNA". Rfam says of the family: Transfer RNA (tRNA) molecules are approximately 80 nucleotides in length. Their secondary structure includes four short double-helical elements and three loops (D, anti-codon, and T loops). Lineage: Eukaryota; Fungi; Ascomycota; Sordariomycetes; Magnaporthales; Magnaporthaceae. The record is from Rfam by way of RNAcentral.
CUCUCCUUGGUGUAGUUGGUUUAUCACGUUCGACUGUAAUUGUCAGAUUGUUAUCGAAAGGUCCCUAGUUCGAUUCUGGGAGGGGAGA